ACUAGAUGCUUGUAAGUUUCCUGCCCUUAGAUUUACCCCUUUGACCAUUUCUGCCCAUUAGAUCAUACUAUUCCACCACUAUCCACUCAAUCCUACGGGAUCUGUCACGCCUCGGGGUUCCUUUUUGAUAUAAACUCAAUCCGGAAGUGCCCAAAACUUUUUUUUUAUUUGAAAAUCCUGACCCCAAGAGUAUGCCAGAUCCGCCACAAAUAUAGAGAGUCCACUAUUCACACGGAAAGAGUCUUCCCUAUAUUUGCACGGCGUUGCACAAGUACAAGAUAUAACCACCAAAUAUGAACAUCCAAAUAUUCAUACACCAUUCACAUCUACAGUUAUUUCAUCAUAAAUUUUCAUAAAUCCACAUCUAUCAGUUUAAAAUGUUUCUUACCGAGAAACUCGUUUUGAAAUACUAAUAUUCAGGAAAAACCAGAAAAUUUUUUUAAAAACCGUUUUCCACACGGAAACCUUUUCCUUUUAAAACUCGUUACCAUAAGGGGUAGAAAAUUAUUUUCAUUUUUGCAAGAAUCAUAAAUCUUUUAUUAUAUUCAUAAAGCCAAAUGAAUCCAAAUGUAAUGAAUCACUGAACCAUAAUUACUGUUUAAGUUGUUUAUUUAAAAGAAACUGAGUUUAAGAGUUUAACCAAUAACGGGACGGUAGCUCUAUCGAUCGCUAAGUACGCUCCUCACGAACCGU
RNAcentral lists this long non-coding RNA (693 nucleotides) under Ananas comosus (pineapple). RNAcentral describes it as "long non-coding RNA (ACOM_LNC024091)". Lineage: Eukaryota; Viridiplantae; Streptophyta; Magnoliopsida; Poales; Bromeliaceae. The record is from RNAcentral.